RNAcentral lists this ribosomal RNA (115 nucleotides) under Chloroflexi bacterium RBG_13_54_8. The record is from RNAcentral. Lineage: Bacteria; Bacillati; Chloroflexota.
UUUGGUGGUUAGAGCGAGGUGGAACCACCCGUUCCCAUCCCGAACACGGAAGUGAAACGCCUCAGCGCAGACGAUACUGGGGGUUGUCCUCUGGGAAAAUAUGCCACUGCCAGGA